UAUUAAAAAUGUUAUCCAUUUGUACAAUUAAAAACUGGUAUAGUUGACAGAAUAACUAGACAAUGACAUAUCUACCGUAUGAUGAUGUACGAUGAGCAACUUUUAAUAGCUUAAAUGAAUAAUUUUUUUUAAUA
RNAcentral lists this microRNA precursor (134 nucleotides) under Gossypium hirsutum (cotton). RNAcentral's name for it is "MIR7502 microRNA precursor family". It matches the Rfam family "MIR7502 microRNA precursor family". Lineage: Eukaryota; Viridiplantae; Streptophyta; Magnoliopsida; Malvales; Malvaceae. The record is from Rfam by way of RNAcentral.